Molecule: transfer RNA, 75 nt
Filed under: Halomonas gemina
Lineage: Bacteria; Pseudomonadati; Pseudomonadota; Gammaproteobacteria; Oceanospirillales; Halomonadaceae
Description: tRNA-Met
Rfam family: tRNA
About the family: Transfer RNA (tRNA) molecules are approximately 80 nucleotides in length. Their secondary structure includes four short double-helical elements and three loops (D, anti-codon, and T loops).
Source: RNAcentral
AGCAGGCGAGACAGACGGCAAGUCGCCGGGCUCAUAACCCGGAGAUACUUGGUUCGACUCCAGGGCUUGCUACCA